Molecule: ribosomal RNA, 254 nt
Filed under: uncultured prokaryote
Description: partial 16S ribosomal RNA
Rfam family: Bacterial small subunit ribosomal RNA
Source: RNAcentral
ACGUAGGAUGCAAGCGUUGUCCGGAUUUACUGGGCGUAAAGGGCGCGUAGGCGGCCAGCACAUGUCAGUUGUGAAAUCUCCGGGCUUAACUCGGAAAGGUCAACUGAUACUGUGCGGCUAGAGUGCAGAAGGGGCAACUGGAAUUCUCGGUGUAGCGGUGAAAUGCGUAGAUAUCAAGAGGAACACCUGCGGCGAAGGCGGGUUGCUGGGCCGACACUGACGCUGAGGCGCGAAAGCCAGGGGAGCGAACGGGA